GACAGAGGUCUCGAGCGUUAGGCGGAAUCACUGGGCUUAAAGCGUGUGUAGGCGGAUUGGUAAGUACCUUGUGAAAUCCCACGGCUUAACCGUGGAACUGCUUGGUAUACUGCUUAUCUUGGGCCACUUAGGGGCUACCGGAACAAACGGUGGAGCGGUGAAAUGCGUAGAUAUCGUUUGGAACGCCAAUGGUGAAAACAGGUAGCUGGGAGUGUGCCGACGCUGAGACACGAAAGCCAGGGGAGCGAACAGG
RNAcentral lists this ribosomal RNA (253 nucleotides) under uncultured bacterium. Its description in RNAcentral is "partial 16S ribosomal RNA". It matches the Rfam family "Bacterial small subunit ribosomal RNA", at positions 524 to 776 of the family's 1533-position model. The record is from RNAcentral.